ACGGAAUUCAGUAACAAUGGAUUAAAUUAUAUUUUCAUCUAGCUAUAAUACAGAUCAAAUACAUGUGUACAUUCGAAAAAUUAGAACAGAUUUACUAUUUAGCUCGAGAACAUGCUGACACACGGCGAUUAUUUAGGAUAUAAAUCGAUAGAAAGCAUUUUGUAGAUAAAAAUCGAUGAAUAUCAAUAAUAAUCGAUAAAAUUGGCUAUGACUUUUUGUGACUAUUGAUUGGUCAUCGAUUGACCAAUGUCAAUCGAUAUCAAUUAAGUAAUUAACAUCGAUUGAUCGAUUGGAUUUCCGAUCGGAUUAUCGAUUAAGUACGCCAGGAAUAUUGAGGUUUUGAGUUGGUUUUAAAAACAAAAUUUUAAAUGUUUUCGUACAGUAUACAACCGGAGUAGUAGAAUUUGAAAUUUACUAUUCCGUUUCAAGAUCCUCGGGUCCACUACAAAUCAAAACUUUUUUUUGUGUUUUAAUGGUGUAAUGUUCAUCUUUUGUCAGUUGUUGGGGCAUGGUGCCACUAACACAAAAAUAUAGUUUUCAAAGUUGCCGUUGCUAUGGUUACCGAGAUUAAUUACCCCCUAUGGUGAAAAAUGGACACAUUUGUAAACAUGAUAUCUGAAGAAGUAUGCAAGAUAAAAACCUGAAAUAACUUUUUUUUAAUAGUUUAGAACAUGGUCUAGGGAAUGAACUACACUUACAUUGAUGGAGCCAAUAAUACAUUUUUUACAGCCAAAAUAUUGAAAAUGCAGGACAUCGGUAUGACCUUGACUAUCAUAUUUUUUGUACUAUUGCAGAUAUUGCUAUGAUUGUAGUUCAUUCCCAAGAGUAUAAAAUACAGAAGCUACAGUGAAAAUUUGAAGUUAAUAGCUCAAAUACUUUUUAAGAUAUUGUGCAUGCAAUAUCAGUCAUUGGCCAUUUUCGGAUAUUUGAGAAAAACAGCUUUAAAGUUUAACAUACACAUUUUAAGAGUGAUAAUCAUCAAGGAUUGAUGAAGAAAGUCAGGAGUGGCCAAGAUCAAAGUUAAAAGGCUCCUGCCUCAUAUGUAUUCCCCUCUGCUUCCUUGUUUUUGUCUUCUUUGUUCUUUUUAUGCCCUCGAAGGACCUUUCUCUUCUUCUUGACUUCAGGCGUAGCUCGAUAAUCCGCUUUCUUGAUGCGCUUUUUGUCUGCUUGGCAAAUACCCUCUUCAAAGUGGAAGCCUGGAUUUAAUCCCUCUUCUUGCAGAAUGUUAAUAGCAGCCCUUGAACCCAUGUUAAAAUGAGCCACUGCAUCAUAUACACCCAAUUCCAGAACAGUUGCACCCACAAAAGUACUCUUUGGAAGCCUGUUCCAAAUCAUACCGUUGAAGGACUCGUUCUGGUUUUGGGUUUUGCCAUCUAAACAUUUGCUCAACAAAGCAUCGUUGCUCAGUCUACAAUAAAUAGGUUUGACAAGACUAAUGAUGUUAUCUGGCAGACCAGGUCCAGGCUUGUACAAAUUAGUGUUAUUAGCCUUGUCUUGUUUAUAACGGCACCAGCCAUCUGGACCAUCAGGACAGUAAUUGUGGAGAUUACGCUUCUCUGAAGACACACAAUGAAAAAGGCUAGCAUAAAUUGCCGACUUCAUCCCAUUCAAAUCUCCACAAUUACUCCUGAUGGCAAUUCCAUAAUAGUUCUGUAGUUUAUCAAUUAGGCUGUCAGUUAGUUUUCCUUUUCCCCCGAUACCUUUGUUCUCUUUUUUUAGCUUCCGAAGAGCUGUUCCGACACGCUUUUGGACGUGACCAACACAUUCCUUCUUUUCAACCUGAACAUUAUCAUAUACAUGCUCAAUCUCUGAAUAUGCUUUGCUGUCCCCAUCACCAAAAUACUCUGUAUACUGUAGUUGCCGGGUGGUUUCACUUCGGCCAAAAAUCCUUUUGAUGCCCACAGUCUCCAUAGCUGGUGAGGAUCCUUUGUAAUUUAUCUUACAUGAAUGCUUUUCUACCAUAUCAGCUUUCUUAGAAGCAUCCUUCUGUCUGGCAAUUCUUUGGCACCCAUGACAAACUUUGGUCAAGACUUCUACAUCCAAGCACUUUCCAGUGUCAAUAGAUAAUGUGGUGACGCAGCCAUGAAGAGACGAAUAUCCUCGUCGCUGCCAGGUUCCAUCACACGAGACACCACAGCGGG
Non-coding RNA from Paramuricea clavata, 2141 nucleotides. Lineage: Eukaryota; Metazoa; Cnidaria; Anthozoa; Malacalcyonacea; Plexauridae. The record is from the annotation of a GenBank genome assembly.